GUGGGGAAUAUUGGACAAUGGGCGAAAGCCUGAUCCAGCCAUGCCGCGUGUGUGAAGAAGGUCUUCGGAUUGUAAAGCACUUUAAGUUGGGAGGAAGGGCAGUAAGUUAAUACCUUGCUGUUUUGACGUUACCGACAGAAUAAGCACCGGCUAACUUCGUGCCAGCAGCCGCGGUAAUACGAAGGGUGCAAGCGUUAAUCGGAAUUACUGGGCGUAAAGCGCGCGUAGGUGGUUUUGUAAGUUGGAGGUGAAAUCCCCGGGCUCAACCUGGGAACUGCGUCCAACACUGCAUGACUAGAGUACGGUAUAGGGUAGUGGAAUUUCCUGUGUAGCGGUGAAAUGCGUAGAUGUAGGAAGGGACACCAGUGGCGAAGGCGACUACCUGGACUGAUACUGACACUAAGGUGCGAAAGCGUGGGGAGCAAACAGGAUUAGAUACCCCGGUAGUCC
This 450-nucleotide ribosomal RNA is filed under the name uncultured bacterium. RNAcentral describes it as "partial 16S ribosomal RNA". It matches the Rfam family "Bacterial small subunit ribosomal RNA", at positions 354 to 796 of the family's 1533-position model. The record is from RNAcentral.